UGGGGGAGGGUGAGAGGAAGGAGAGGAGCAGGAAAGGUAACUAUUGGUUACUGGGCUUAAUACUUGGGUGAUGAAAUAACACACACAGCAAAGCCCUGUAACACUUGUUUAUGUAUGUACAAAAGUUUCACAUAUACCCCCAAACCUAAAAAAAAAAAAAAAAAAAAAGGAAAGUGUGCUUACGAGCUCUGUGAGUCUGCUGAAAUGAUGGUAGACGACAAGCUGUCCUCAAUCAUUCGCCCCCCGCUCCCCAGCCAAUUUUCUCUGUGCAACAGUGGCUAUUUACUUUGGUUACAAGAUAAAAUUUAUGUAAGUGGUUGAGCCUAGACUUAGGGGCACUAGUUUCAGAAAAAAAUGAAACUAUAUAUAUUUCCAUGUUUUUUCCAAGGCCAAGAGUAGUUUUGUCCUAAGACAACAGUAAUCAGUAUUUUUUGCUUUUGUUUUGUUUUGGUUUUCUUUAUACUCUUUAACUACUUUUUACUUUUCACAUACCUUACUCUCUUGUACUAUGAAAACUUAUUGAAGACUCCAAAGAGGUUUUACUUCUAGGUUGUAAAUGUCAGUACUCACUGUUGGAAACUGAAACAGAACCACUACAAUGCUUAUUGAAACUGAAACAGAACCACUACAAUGCUUAUUUAAUGAUGCCAAGGAAGAUAGCAAAGAUAAAAGCAUUGCAUAUUAAUAACAUCUCGGUAAUAGGAUGAAGUUAUUUCUGGCCUCAGAAACAGCCCUGAGACCUGUCCGAAAAUCAAGUGUCAUUUUGUUCCACAUAUGAAAGAGCAGAACCACAGACACAACUUGGAAAGUAAAACUCAUCUGCCUUGGUUUUUAUAAUGCCUGAAUCUGGAAAUCUAUAAAACCUGUUAAGAUACUAGCAAAGCUUUCUCAAUUUUGAUGAGCUUAUUUUCUUUGUUUACUGACUAAUAUCUUCAUCUGCAAUAUAAAGUGUUACCAUUUUUGUUGUGUGUAAUCUGUCUAGAUAAUAAAGAUUUUCUUUUCACCAGA
RNAcentral lists this long non-coding RNA (1008 nucleotides) under Homo sapiens (human). RNAcentral's name for it is "non-protein coding lnc-SSUH2-11:2". The record is from RNAcentral. Lineage: Eukaryota; Metazoa; Chordata; Mammalia; Primates; Hominidae.